Octopus sinensis (East Asian common octopus) is the source of this 95-nucleotide long non-coding RNA. RefSeq lists it as uncharacterized. The transcript has 3 exons. NCBI's taxonomy places the organism in Eukaryota, Metazoa, Mollusca, Cephalopoda, Octopoda, Octopodidae. The record is from RefSeq and is a predicted model, not a curated record.
AAACCACACGUACAAGGAAAAGGAAGAACACUGAAUUCCUAAAAGCAGAUACUAAGAAGAUAAGAUAUUGAGUAUAUACUAAAAAGGAGGAGGAG